GAUUGAAGCUAUAAUCCAGACAAGGAAAUAAACUAAUUUCAUCAUAAACCAGCCAUGGCACGUUGUGGCUCAUAAGAUUUCUCACAGAGGAGUCAACAGAAUAAUUAGCAGUUUUGUCCAGGAGCCCUUUUCAGAGAGCUGCAGAAGGACAUGGAAAAAGCAGGUACAGUUUUCAUGUCAAAGUUAAAUGUGUAAAAUCUGUGUUAAGUCCAACGUGGAUGUAAUAAAAACUAAUUGGUAAGAUUUCAAAGGGAUAUAAUUGUAUAGUUAUGUUACAGUUUCAAAUUUGCUGUCCAAAAGGACAGUCUGCAAAGUGCUGUCCUUUUGCUGACCCCAAACAAUACUGGUGUCAAGCCAAUUAAAUCGCUCUUCUUUGGUCAUGUGACACCGCUGCUCGGUUUGCAGUCUGAAAGCAAGCCAAGCAGCAUGGCUUCCUCCAAAUCACAGAGAGUGAGCUUUUAGGGAUGAACACCCUGAAAUGGAUGUUAGCAAUGCUAAUAGUGGCAGUUUAGAUGAACAACUCGCAUAGGUUGCAGACCAGGUGAAACCUUGGCUUGAUCUUGAAACUCCUGAUGAACACCCUGAUGUGAAGGAUGACUGCCUAGCCACAUGGAAAUGCCUGUUGUUUUUAUUGUUUUCGUUGCUUCAGACAUUGUAAUUUCAGUGGUCACCAAAGAUCCUGGGGAAAUCAGCCCAUUUGCCACAAAAACCACUCAUUUUAUUAGCUUCAGCAUUUAUGGUGGCAAUUUGCAUGGAGUCUAGGUUGGUGCAAACUCACAUCAGAUAAAAAUGAAAUGGUUGACAGUGUACCUCUAAUUUUCUUAUACAGUUUAUAUUCCAAAAUAUUACAAACAAAUUUAUAAUUUUAGAACAACACAAGUCCAGACUUGUACAUUGAAUGCCUUUGUAGUCUCCAGCCUCACUGGAGAAGGCUGAUCUGAUGACGUUCACCUCACAAGAUGGAAGAGGCUUGCAGAUGUCACCCAAUGGUGCCAUGUUCCCAUUGAUUCAUCUCCCUAAAGAUGUAUGGGGUCGUCCUGCUUCCUAAAUGUGUGAGAAGACAGCCCUGGUACAUUAGGAGUCAAACAGCAACUCUUAAAUCCAGGAUGGCCUGUUACACCCAGGUUAUGAGGAACCAGGGUAUACAGGCUGAGCAAGUACUGCCUGAAUGCUUCAGAU
This is a long non-coding RNA of Fundulus heteroclitus (mummichog), 1179 nucleotides long. RefSeq lists it as uncharacterized. NCBI's taxonomy places the organism in Eukaryota, Metazoa, Chordata, Actinopteri, Cyprinodontiformes, Fundulidae. The record is from RefSeq and is a predicted model, not a curated record. The transcript is spliced from 4 exons.